AUUGCUGGUGAGAUGGUUGAGAGAAGAGCCGAGAUGAGGUUUUGAUCAAUCAGUAACCACAACCGGUGAUCUGAGGCUGCUCCGGUAGAAGUUGUUUCAAGUGGACAUGCAUGCUCCCUAGUGAGGGAGAGGAGUUUGAUAUAAUCGGAGCUGAUGAAGCUUGAUCGGCCAUUGGAAGAGAGGAUGGGAGAAUGUGAGUAGGUCUAAGAGCGGUGAAGCACAGGCUCUGAUACCAUGAAAGAUUUUAUAAAAGUGUUGAAGAACUCAGAUGCAUAGAAGAGGAGAACGUUAUGAAUACUGUAGCUGAAUAUGCAAACUCUCAUAUUGAAGUAAAUCUUAGAUGGUGAGUAAUAUAGGAAGACAACCGACAUGCUGUUAGAUAAUGCAGAGCCGUUAGUUCGGUCUAAGUAUGGAGGCGUUAUAUGCAGAGGAGCAGAGAUAAUGCUGAGCAUCCUAGUGGUCCCUUUGGCUUUUUAGUGCAGCAGAGGUUGACGUAUGCUAACAAAUACAACAAGCGGAUCUAAAGAUAUGUUUUUUAUGAACAUAAGAUACAUUAAAUUCAUUUUUUUUUUCAAGAAAUUUGACGAACAUUGUUUGAUUUGUCUUACUUCUUUGAGUUACUGUAAAUUGGACUAGGAAUUUGGUGGGCAUCCAUAGGGGGAACUACAAUGUAGUCAAUGUAUAUUUCUAAUUGUCUCUUUUUGCAUAUUUUGGCUAAGUUAUUCAGAAUGAUACCUUAAAUAAUUAAGAUGCAUCUGGUUUUGAUUCA
Molecule: long non-coding RNA, 769 nt
Organism: Dendrobium catenatum
Lineage: Eukaryota; Viridiplantae; Streptophyta; Magnoliopsida; Asparagales; Orchidaceae
Exons: 2
Source: RefSeq, a predicted model, not a curated record